GCUCAACCGGGGAGGGUCAUUGGAAACUGGGGAACUUGAGUGCAGAAGAGGAGAGUGGAAUUCCACGUGUAGCGGUGAAAUGCGUAGAGAUGUGGAGGAACACCAGUGGCGAAGGCGACUCUCUGGUCUGUAACUGACGCUGAGGCGCGAAAGCGUGGGGAGCGAACAGGAUUAGAUACCCUGGUAGUCCACGCCGUAAACGAUGAGUGCUAAGUGUUAGAGGGUUUCCGCCCUUUAGUGCUGCAGCAAACGCAUUAAGCACUCCGCCUGGGGAGUACGGUCGCAAGACUGAAACUCAAAGGAAUUGACGGGGGCCCGCACAAGCGGUGGAGCAUGUGGUUUAAUUCGAAGCAACGCGAAGAACCUUACCUGGUCUUGACAUCCUCUGACAACCCUAGAGAUAGGGCUUCCCCUUCGGGGGCAGAGUGACAGGUGGUGCAUGGUUGUCGUCAGCUCGUGUCGUGAGAUGUUGGGUUAAGUCCCGCAACGAGCGCAACCCUUGAUCUUAGUUGCCAGCAUUCAGUUGGGCACUCUAAGGUGACUGCCGGUGACAAACCGGAGGAAGGUGGGGAUGACGUCAAAUCAUCAUGCCCCUUAUGACCUGGGCUACACACGUGCUACAAUGGGCAGAACAAAG
Molecule: ribosomal RNA, 637 nt
Filed under: uncultured bacterium
Lineage: Bacteria
Description: bacterial SSU rRNA
Rfam family: Bacterial small subunit ribosomal RNA
Source: RNAcentral